This 2964-nucleotide long non-coding RNA is filed under the name Capsicum annuum. RNAcentral's name for it is "long non-coding RNA (CANN_LNC007539)". Lineage: Eukaryota; Viridiplantae; Streptophyta; Magnoliopsida; Solanales; Solanaceae. The record is from RNAcentral.
AAAAACAAGAAGCUGUCUAUAUUUUGUAUAUAUAUACAUAGCUUUUAUAGCACACCACAACUCACAACAACAUACCGAGUGAAAUUCCACAAGUGAUCAGUUUCUGUGUAGGGUAGACUGUACGCAGAUCGUCGCUCGUCGCUCGAUUUACUUUUAUAGAACACAACCAACAAAAAUUUCUUCAAUAUACCUUCACUUCAUUUCUCAAAUCCUGUUCUUGUUUUCUCCAUGGAUAACAUGAAUAAGAACCUUGAAGUAGUUAUAGUAAUGGUUCCAUUUCCAGCACAAAGCCAUCUCAAUCAACUGCUUCAAUUUGCUUUUUUAAUCUCCUCAUCCCACAAUCUUCCUGUUUCCUUUGUUGGCUCAGCUAGUCAUAAUCACCAAGCUCGCGUUCGAUCCAACGCGGCGUUAAAUCCAUCAUACAUAGCCAAAAUCCACUUCCAUGACAUCCCAACACCUGAUUUUGACUCACCUGCACCUGAUCCUAAUGCAUUGAGCAAAUUUCCAGCUCAACUCAUACCAUCUUAUAAUGCUUGCACGCUUCUUCGCGAGCCUAUCGCUUUGUUACUUGGUGAACUCUCGUCUAAAUCAAGACGAGUUGUCGUUGUUCAUGAUGCUUUAAUGUCCUAUAAUGUUCAGGAUGAUUGUUCCUUGCAUAAUACUGAGUCUUAUGUAUUUAACUGUGUUUCUGUUUUCUUUAUGUAUUGUAGUUUUGUAUGUAUACCUAAUGGUUUGCCUAUUCCACUUGAUGAAGAUUUACUUAAAAAGGUACCUAAACUUGAAGCUGAUGCACCAGAUGAGAUCAAUAAGAUAGUGGAUUUUCAACUUCAGUAUAAGGAUAUUAGAGCUGGUGAUUUAUACAAUUCAAACAAAGUACUUGAAGGUACUGUUACGGUUCGACUUGAUUUUCUACCGUCAUUAGAAUUACCUUUCUCGAUGGAAAAUGUUUCGUAUUUGGUUAAAUCGAGUUUGAAGGGGAGCCUUGGAGUAACUGGUAAAGUUGUUGCCAUGUAACCAGGAGGUGCAAGGUAAGGCUGCGUACAAUGCACCCUUGAGGUGGGGCCCGCGCAUAGCGGUCGCUUUAGUGCACCGGGCUGCCCUUUUUAGUCUGUUCAUAUUAGAAGUCAUAGUAUUGUUCCUGUAGUUUCUUGAUUUCUGCCACUAUUUGUUGUUUCUUGUACUCGGUCAAGAUAAGGCUGCGUACGAUGCACCCUUGAGGUGGUGCCCGCGCAUAGUGGUCGCUUUAGUGCACCGGACUGCCCUUUUUAGUCUGUUCAUAUUAGAAGUCGUAGUAUUGCUCCUGUAUUUCUUGUCCUUUAACUUUUGUUGCUAUUCGUUGUUUCUUGAACUCGGUUAUUGCGUUGUUUCUGUUGUAGUUUCCGUUUUGUUACUAUCUGCUAUUUUUGUUAUUAUUUGUUGUUUCUCAUACUUCCAUAAGUCCUUUUUGGGACCACUUUUGGACUGCGUUUUCAUGAGCUGGUGGUUUAUUGUACACGACCUGUCUACCUCUGAGGUAGGGGUAAGGUCCGCGUACAAUCUACCCUCCGCAGCCCCACUUUCAUGACCGCGUACAAUAUAGUUUUCUUUGUCGUCUGAUUUAUCGCUAUCAUGGCAUGUCGCCCCGACUAUUUCGUUCCAACAGGUGCUUCUCUUGAUUUGAUGGCAAAAAUUGCAAGUACAGAAAACAAGAAGCAAUGGGCAAUCGGACCGAUUUUGCCUACUAAACAAGAUCAUGUAUCAGAUAAGAGAAACAAGUGUUUAGAUUGGCUUGAUAACCAACCUCCAAGAUCAGUUAUUUAUGUAUCUUUUGGAUCAUCAACUACAUUUUCUGAUAAAGAAGUCAUGGAGCUCGCGAUGGGAUUAGAGAGAAGCAAACAGAAGUUUCUAUGGGUGUUGAGACUGCGAACAGCCUGUCUAACCUCUUCUACCUUAAAACGUCUACUUUUAUAGAACACAACCAACAAAAAUGUCUUCAAUAUACCUUCACUUCAUUUCUCAAAUCCUGUUCUUGUUUUCUCCAUGGAUAACAUGAAUAAGAACCUUGAAGUAGUUAUAGUAAUGGUUCCAUUUCCAGCACAAAGCCAUCUCAAUCAACUGCUUCAAUUUGCUUGUUUAAUCUCCUCAUCACACAAUCUUCCUGUUUACUUUGUUGGCUCAGCUAGUCAUAAUCACCAAGCUCGCGUUCGAUCCAACGCGGCGUUAAAUCCAUCAUACAUAGCCAAAAUCCACUUCCAUGACAUCCCAACACCUGAUUUUGACUCACCUGCACCUGAUCCUAAUGCAUUGAGCAAAUUUCCAGCUCAACUCAUACCAUCUUAUAACGCUUGCACGCUUCUUCGAGAGCCGAUCGCUUUGUUGCUUCGUGAACUCUCGACUAAAUCAAGACGAGUUGUCGUUGUUCAUGAUGCUUUAAUGUCCUAUAAUGUUCAGGAUGAUUGUUCCUUGCAUAAUAUGCGAACAGCCUGUCUAACCUCUUCUACCUUAAAACGUCUACUUUUAUAGAACACAACCAACAAAAAUGUCUUCAAUAUACCUUCACUUCAUUUCUCAAAUCCUGUUCUUGUUUUCUCCAUGGAUAACAUGAAUAAGAACCUUGAAGUAGUUAUAGUAAUGGUUCCAUUUCCAGCACAAAGCCAUCUCAAUCAACUGCUUCAAUUUGCUUGUUUAAUCUCCUCAUCACACAAUCUUCCUGUUUACUUUGUUGGCUCAGCUAGUCAUAAUCACCAAGCUCGCGUUCGAUCCAACGCGGCGUUAAAUCCAUCAUACAUAGCCAAAAUCCACUUCCAUGACAUCCCAACACCUGAUUUUGACUCACCUGCACCUGAUCCUAAUGCAUUGAGCAAAUUUCCAGCUCAACUCAUACCAUCUUAUAACGCUUGCACGCUUCUUCGAGAGCCGAUCGCUUUGUUGCUUCGUGAACUCUCGACUAAAUCAAGACGAGUUGUCGUUGUUCAUGAUGCUUUA